GACGAACGCUGGCGGCGUGCUUAACACAUGCAAGUCGAGCGACUGCAUUCUUUUCGGAGGGUGUAUGGAGCGGCGAACGGGUGAGUAACACGUGAGUAAUCUGCCUUUGGCUUGGGAAUAACUUCGGGAAAUCGGGGCUAAUGCCUGAUGUUUACUGUCUGCUGCAUGGUGGGUGGUGGAAAGUAUUUUUUGGCCGAGGAGUGAGCUCGCGGUCUAUCA
Molecule: ribosomal RNA, 219 nt
Filed under: uncultured bacterium
Lineage: Bacteria
Description: partial 16S ribosomal RNA
Rfam family: Bacterial small subunit ribosomal RNA
Source: RNAcentral